GGGUAGCGGAACACGUACACAACCUUCCUUUAAGUGGGGGAUAGCCCAGAGAAAUUUGGAUUAAUACCCCGUAAGAUUAUUAGAUGGCAUCAUUUGAUAAUUAAAGCUCCGGCGCUUGAAGAUGGGUGUGCGUCUGAUUAGGUAGUUGGUAGGGGUAACGGCCCACCAAGCCAGCGAUCAGUAACUGGUGUGAGAGCACGACCAGUCACACGGGCACUGAGACACGGGCCCG
This 232-nucleotide ribosomal RNA is filed under the name uncultured bacterium. Its description in RNAcentral is "partial 16S ribosomal RNA". It matches the Rfam family "Bacterial small subunit ribosomal RNA", at positions 104 to 334 of the family's 1533-position model. The record is from RNAcentral.